UCUAAACGACUCUCGGCAACGGAUAUCUCGGCUCUCGCAUCGAUGAAGAACGUAGCGAAAUGCGAUACUUGGUGUGAAUUGCAGAAUCUCGUGAACCAUCGAGUCUUUGAACGCAAGUUGCGCCCGAAGCCAUUAGGUUGAGGGCACGCCUGCCUGGGCGUCAU
RNAcentral lists this ribosomal RNA (164 nucleotides) under Digitalis ferruginea subsp. ferruginea. Its description in RNAcentral is "5.8S ribosomal RNA". It matches the Rfam family "5.8S ribosomal RNA". From Rfam's summary of the family: 5.8S ribosomal RNA (5.8S rRNA) is a component of the large subunit of the eukaryotic ribosome. RNAcentral also lists the same sequence under 5 other names. Lineage: Eukaryota; Viridiplantae; Streptophyta; Magnoliopsida; Lamiales; Plantaginaceae. The record is from RNAcentral.